UCUUUUAAAGUUUCAAAAGAAAGUUGC
This 27-nucleotide small RNA is filed under the name Bombyx mori (domestic silkworm). RNAcentral's name for it is "ovarian small RNA-30283". The record is from RNAcentral. Lineage: Eukaryota; Metazoa; Arthropoda; Insecta; Lepidoptera; Bombycidae.